ACAACAUGAUGGGAGUAUUUUCUAAUUAGUUCCUUUAAUCUCUCCCAAGUCUCAUGAAAUAUCUCCACAUCUAACUAGGAAAAACUAGUUAUGGCCUUUUUGAUUUG
Small nucleolar RNA from Elaeis guineensis (African oil palm), 107 nucleotides. The record is from RefSeq and is a predicted model, not a curated record. NCBI's taxonomy places the organism in Eukaryota, Viridiplantae, Streptophyta, Magnoliopsida, Arecales, Arecaceae.